GAGCUUGAGACCAGUUUCCUUUUUUUUAAUUUUAGAGUUUGCAUGUUUUGCUUGUUUUUUACCCUUUCCUGUUGCUUCUAAUUUUUGCUUUUUUCUCUGUAGAAAUUUCCCAGGGUCAAGAGUUGCUGUUUACUCAUUUUUCCUGCUUCAGGACUGGGAGUCCUGCAAGUUGCUGCUCAAUUUUGUCUUAGCUUAUGACUCACAGGGUUUUACCUUGGAGCUAUCUUCACUGCUUUGUCAGAGGCUAGAGCAAGCCCAGUGUUUUGGAGCUCUGAACUUCACCUCCAGAGUCUUGGAUUACCAUGAGCAGGGGCAGCUGGAUGGAGUGUAGGCUUCAAAUCGGGGAGACAACUUCAAAUCCAUCCUCAGAUUUCUCUGAAUUGUUUUCCAUAAAGGCUGUGGGUCAAAAUCAAAUGUACACCAUGGGAGUGGAGCCAAGAUGGUACAGUUAUCCUCAGAAGUGCUGUGCCACCAUGAGAAUCCUCUCCAUCCAUAAAAUAAAUACAAGAAUGAAAGAACCA
Molecule: long non-coding RNA, 521 nt
Filed under: Monodelphis domestica (gray short-tailed opossum)
Lineage: Eukaryota; Metazoa; Chordata; Mammalia; Didelphimorphia; Didelphidae
Description: lncRNA (ENSMODG00000049360.1)
Source: RNAcentral